AAUCAUUAGUUCAUAGUAGAUACGCUUCAACUCCAAGAGAGAAGGUAUAUCUGCAGGAGCCUCUUCAACAAUGUUAUCACCUUCCUUUGGUUUUUUCUUUUCUUUCGUAGUAUCUGCAUCAAAAACACGGGGACUGAUCUUCCUUGACAGGAUUUGUGCCCGGAUAUAGUCCUGACGAUCUAAGCACAAGCGAACUUGGUCGAGGAUAAAUGCUAUUUUUUCCGUCUUCGCCAUUGCCCCAAAUGUUUCCACAGCCAUCUCCUGCAUCAAAUCAGCAGCCUCGGCAAUAAGACCUUGUUCUUCUUUAAUCUUGGCAAGCUUCUUUACCAGGCGUGCCCUCUCAAUCUCCACAUAUAUCUUUCCAGCAGAGACGUUGUUCAGAGUUUGGAUAAGUUCUAUGCGUGUAUCAAUA
RNAcentral lists this unclassified non-coding RNA (412 nucleotides) under Hevea brasiliensis (rubber tree). Lineage: Eukaryota; Viridiplantae; Streptophyta; Magnoliopsida; Malpighiales; Euphorbiaceae. The record is from RNAcentral.